Musa acuminata AAA Group (dessert banana) is the source of this 516-nucleotide long non-coding RNA. RefSeq lists it as uncharacterized. The record is from RefSeq and is a predicted model, not a curated record. Lineage: Eukaryota; Viridiplantae; Streptophyta; Magnoliopsida; Zingiberales; Musaceae. The transcript has 3 exons.
GAUUCAUAUACACAGGAUCGGUUGAGAUCACUAAUGAUAUCACGUAAGAUCUUCUACAAGCUGCGGAUCAGUAUCUUCUUGAGGGUCUUAAACAGCUACGUGAAUAUGCCAUUGCACAAGAAGUUUGCAUAGACAAUGUCUCCAGCAUGUACGAAUUGUUAGAGGCAUUCCAUGCCAUGUCCCUGAGGCACACUUGUGUCAUAUUUAUUUUAGAGCAAUUCGAGAAAAUCAACUCGUCCAAGGCAUUCCCAUCUAAUCCAGCGAAUAACUCCAGAGAUCCGCAACUAAUUUGGUAAAGCUUUGAGGCCGAAACUGAGAAAAUCCUUUAACUAACUGUUCCUUUUUGACAGCAUCUUCUCUAACUCAUGCUGCUGUUGUUGGAGGCUUGUACAGUUGGAGCCAUUCUGCACCAAACAUCUAUUUCCGAAGGGGGUUCUUUAUGCCCAUAUCUUAGUUUGUUCCGAUCUUCUCAAGAGCAUUAUUUGUUCUUAUCAUUUAUUUUGAUACCCGACAUGU